AUUUAUUUACAGGCUCUAACAUUUGUAUCAUUUCUAAAGUCCAGAUCAAGCGACCUCGGAAGAAAUUUUUUCUUAAUUACUCAAUUGCUGUCACUGGAUAGGUUUGAUAUGAUACUUUACUUUUGAUCUUAGAUUUCCAGACUCGCAACAAUUUCUAAAAAAUUGGGUAGUAAACACACACAUGUAGGCUGGAAAUAUUAAACACUAGCAAGAUGCAUCCUUCCAACAUUUU
Non-coding RNA from Schizosaccharomyces pombe (fission yeast), 232 nucleotides. NCBI's taxonomy places the organism in Eukaryota, Fungi, Ascomycota, Schizosaccharomycetes, Schizosaccharomycetales, Schizosaccharomycetaceae. The record is from the annotation of a GenBank genome assembly.